RNAcentral lists this ribosomal RNA (265 nucleotides) under uncultured bacterium. Its description in RNAcentral is "partial 16S ribosomal RNA". It matches the Rfam family "Bacterial small subunit ribosomal RNA", at positions 354 to 635 of the family's 1533-position model. The record is from RNAcentral.
UGGGGGAAUAUUGGACAAUGGGGGCAACCCUGAUCCAGCAAUGCCGCGUGUGUGAAGAAGGUCUUCGGAUUGUAAAGCACUUUCGACGGGGACGAUGAUGACGGUACCCGUAGAAGAAGCCCCGGCUAACUUCGUGCCAGCAGCCGCGGUAAUACGAAGGGGGCUAGCGUUGCUCGGAAUGACUGGGCGUAAAGGGCGUGUAGGCGGUUUACACAGUCAGAUGUGAAAUCCCCCGGGCUUAACCUGGGAGCUGCAUUUGAUACGU